AAUUGAUUGAGUUGGUUCGA
RNAcentral lists this unclassified non-coding RNA (20 nucleotides) under Dictyostelium discoideum. Lineage: Eukaryota; Evosea; Eumycetozoa; Dictyosteliales; Dictyosteliaceae. The record is from RNAcentral.